Molecule: long non-coding RNA, 1087 nt
Organism: Pseudophryne corroboree (corroboree frog)
Lineage: Eukaryota; Metazoa; Chordata; Amphibia; Anura; Myobatrachidae
Exons: 3
Source: RefSeq, a predicted model, not a curated record
GUUUACCAACCAAAUGCCACAACAUCUGCCCAACACAACUCUACUUUGUGACUUUGUGUAGCUGAUUGGUCCUGCAAAAUGUGGGCAAGCACAAUGGCAAGCUAAUCAAGCACCAUCAUCACCUCCAGCCUCCACCCCACCACCAACUCCAUCACCCCAUCAACACCCUGAACCCCAACAUCAAACAUCCCAUUCAUCAUCAACCACCCCCUCUCCAACCCUCUCCCCCUCUCUUUCCCAAACCCCUCUUGAACCCCCUCACCGUCUCUUUCACAACCCCUCUCUCGAACCCCCUCCCCUUCUCUUUCACAAUCACCAUCUCCAACCCCCUCCCCCUCUCUUGCCCAACCCACCUCUCAGCCCCCCUCCCUCUCUCUUGCCCAACCCAUCUCUCAGCCCCCCUCCCCCUCUCUGGCCCAACCCACCUCUCAGCCCACCUCCCCCUCUCUUGCCCAACCCACCUCUCAGCCCCACUCCCCCUCUCUUGCCCAACCCACCUCUCAGCCCCACUCCCCCUCUCUGGCCCAAACACCCUCUCAGCCCCACUCCCCCUCUCUGGCCCAAACACCCUCUCAGCCCCACUCCCCCUCUCUGGCCCAAACACCCUCUCAGCCCCACUCCCCCUCUCUAGACCAAACACCCUCUCAGCCCCACACACCCUCUCAGCCCCACUUCCCCUCUCUGGACCAAACACCCUCUCCGCUCCCCUCCCCCUCUCAAUCAGACCCACCAUCUCUAAACAACUCACCCUUCCAUCCUCCUUCCCUAAUCCAGCCUCCUUCCCCAAUCCAGCCUCCUUCCCCAAUCCAGCCUCCUUCACCACCCACUGAAUGGGCAGCAGAGGCCCCCGGGGAGUUUGAGGGUGCUGGACAUGUGGAAGAUGAUAAUGGUGCAGUUGGAGAUCCCACAACUAUUCCUGGCAUUCUUGCCAGCAUAAAGCGAAAUAUGAGGGCCUUGCUGGCAGACAUUGAGGACCUGGAAAAAAAAUGUCAAUAAAAUAUUUUAUGUUCAUUACAAAAAAAAAAGUUUAUUAAAAAAUAAAAAAAAAGUUGUAGGAAAAUAAAAACAAAAAAUUAUUUAAAUUUAA